This 472-nucleotide ribosomal RNA is filed under the name uncultured bacterium. Its description in RNAcentral is "bacterial SSU rRNA". It matches the Rfam family "Bacterial small subunit ribosomal RNA", at positions 8 to 526 of the family's 1533-position model. The record is from RNAcentral.
AGAGUUUGAUCAUGGCUCAGAACGAACGCUGGCGGCAGGCUUAACACAUGCAAGUCGAGCGGGCCCUUCGGGGUCAGCGGCGGACGGGUGAGUAACGCGUGGGAACAUGCCCUUGGGUGCGGAACAACUCCGGGAAACUGGAGCUAAUACCGCAUGAUGUCUUCGGACCAACGAUUUAUCGCCCAGGGAUUGGCCCGCGUCGGAUUAGGUAGUUGGUGGGGUAAUGGCCUACCAAGCCGACGAUCCGUACCUGGUUUGAGAGGAUGAUCAGGCACACUGGGACUGAGACACGGCCCAGACUCCUACGGGAGGCAGCAGUGGGGAAUCUUGGACAAUGGGGGCAACCCUGAUCCAGCCAUGCCGCGUGGACGAUGAAGGCCUUAGGGUUGUAAAGUCCUUUCACCGGGGAAGAUAAUGACGGUACCCGGAGAAGAAGCCCCGGCUAACUCCGUGCCAGCAGCCGCGGUAAUUC